This is a non-coding RNA of Schizosaccharomyces pombe (fission yeast), 977 nucleotides long. NCBI's taxonomy places the organism in Eukaryota, Fungi, Ascomycota, Schizosaccharomycetes, Schizosaccharomycetales, Schizosaccharomycetaceae. The record is from the annotation of a GenBank genome assembly.
CGACCAUCGCUCCACCAAGCAACGGUCCCAAAACUGGACCACCGAUGGCUCCAAUUGCCCAAAAACACAUAAAGUAGGGAAGAAGCCAUGGUUGCCAAAUAUCUGCCAAAGUAGCACCUCCAGUCGCUAGAGCUGGCGAGCCGAAGAAACCGGCCAAAAACCUCAUUGGUAAUAAGACGCCCAAGCUAGAUCCCAGUGCGGUGGGAAUCUGUAAACACACAAAUACAAGGAGAGAAAGAACAUAAAUCUUUUGGCGACCAACUUGUGGAAUCUCCGAGAGUGGAGACAAAAUUAGGGGACCGAUGGCAUAGCCAAGUACAAAAAGAGUCAAUCCCAAAACUACGGGAACAGUUCCUACGUGCAUCGUUUCUUGCAUUUCUGAUAUACCUGGAGUAAAAAUUGCUGAUCCCACAUAAACCGCAAACGUUAAGAAGCAAAUAUCAAAAGUCACCACAAGCUUUGCCCACAAAGGCCAAUUUAGGGGAUUUUCGGGAUCGUUGGCAUCAUCCCAUCGCACAAUAAUGUGUCCCUCUGAAUUAACUUCAUGAAUCUUCAGAUCGCCGGAUUCCGAGCUGCAUGAGUCAUUGGAAUCUACUUUGCUAAUGUCUUUCCAUACUCUCAGUUUCUCUAAGUCGUUGUCAUUGGAGUUGUGAGAAACGUAUUCGACCAAUUCGCCGAAAACGGUUUCCCUUAAAAAUCCCAUUUAAAUGACCGUAUGUAAAAACCAAAGUUAGUUCUAUUUUUUGGUCUCGGUUAACUUUAUUAAAAACUUGACAGAUUAUUUGCCCACACUUGCUGGUACAAUUGUCUGGCUACAUUCUUCUCCUAAUAUACCCUUCGUGCCUUACCUAAUCAACGUGAAUGUUUACUAAGUGUAAAGUAAGCAUAUAUUGAUUGAUUAGUCAAUUAUGUGAGAUUCCUUCUUUCAAUUAUCCAUCGUAUUCUAAGUCGUUUCAGUAAGCAGUAUUAAAAGUGCA